This 3190-nucleotide long non-coding RNA is filed under the name Papio anubis (olive baboon). RNAcentral describes it as "lncRNA (ENSPANG00000049113.1)". Lineage: Eukaryota; Metazoa; Chordata; Mammalia; Primates; Cercopithecidae. The record is from RNAcentral.
AUGACAGAGAACUUUACAAAGGACUCUUGCUCUGCCUGGCCUCAUCUAGUUACUGGCUCUUCUAGAAGCGAAUGGCCUCCUGGGCUUCCAAUGAACCAUAAGAGUUUUGAGAACCUGAACAGGACCUGCUUAGCCAUUUUCAGAUUUAAUUGUGCCCGUUUGAAUGGUGGUCUUCACCAUUUCACUCAAAGUGCCUCAUCCGAUGCCUCUGAUGGGCUGAAAACUGUCAGAAGCCCAACCUACAAUGGAGCCCAGGUAAUGCUGUCCACAGGGGUCAACCUGAAGAGGAGGUGAAGAAGGGCUGAGAGUGGACCAGGGAAGGGUUGGGCAGGCUGACUGUGACCAGCACACUGAGGGUUCUUCUGCUGGGAUCAGGAAGUUGCCACUGCCCUCACCACACCUUGAUGUACAAGAGCCAAGGUUAGGAUGUCCCAGUUCAAUGCCUGUGGCUGCAUCUGGAGUUCCAGAAGAUUGGAAUCUCCUAUCUGGCAAGCUUCCAAGAGAAGCAGGCUGUAGAUACUAAUCUGGGUCCCUCUUAGGUGGGCAGGGCCUCGGCCUGAACUGAGCUCCAGAGAAGGCUUGCCCUGGCCAUGCAUCUCUGCCUGGAUGUCUUGGAGCCUGAGAAGUUGCUGGACUGCCUGUGAUUGUGCAUGGUAGUAGUGUUUUGUUUUUGUUUUUUUUUGAAGGCAGAGUCUCACUCUGUUGCCCAGGUUGGAUUGCAGUGCAGUGGUGUAAUGAUAGCUCACUAGCCUCAAACUCCUGGGCUCGAGCCAGCCUCCUGCCUCAGCCUCCUGAGUUGCUGGGACUAUACGUGCACAUUCUUACACUUGGCUUAUUUUACAAUUUUUAUGUUUGCAGAGAGGGGUCUGGCAUGUUGCCCAGGCUGGUCUCGAACUCUUGACCUCAAGUGACUCUCCCACCUCAGCCUCCCAAAGCACUGGGAUUACAGGCGUGAGCCACGGCAUCUAACCUUCACUGGGUUGUGUGACUGAUGCUGUCCUGCCCUUCUAGAAUGUGUGGACCACAUGUUGGCGAGGGCAUCCUCAAGCCCAAUCCAGAAGACGUUGGGAUGAAAAAAAGGUCUCCACCCCAGGGCAGUGUCUGUGUUAAGCCCACUUGGAAGGGUGAGGAAGAACAUCCUGGAGUUCCUGAGGUCAUGUGAACUUCAACAGCAUGAACUUUAAGGAACAGCUCAUGCCUUUGCAAUGUGCAGCAGAAAGUAUUAUGAACCUCAUGCCACCCAGAGCUCUUGGCUUCUCAUUUCUCCCAGGUAGUUGGUCACCAUCUCCUAUCCACCUCUUCCAGGUCUGCCCCUACACACCCAACAAUGGGAACAAUUGCUGUAAUUGCAUCUUACUGAUGCCUUACACCUCAGUAAUUGAUCUAGUCGGGGUGGGGUGGCCCCGGAAGAGGGUUCCUUAACCUGGAGAAGAGUGUGGUCUCAGUGCCCAUCAGAUAGAGGCUAAAAAGGCAGCUGAGCUUUCACUUGCUAUUGACAUUGGCACAGUGACCUAACUCUUUUGUCCUUUAACUCCUGGCAUGGGUACAAAUAACAUUAGUAACUGCUUCAUAGAGCUGUCAUGGGGCAUAAAUUAAAUGAUGGUUAUACGUUCAUGACAACAGCCUGCCCUGGUUCUCAUCUGUAAAAUAGGAAGAAUAAUCUCUCCUUCUCCAUGGGACCUCAUCAGAGUUAAAUUAGUAGAUGUCUAUAAAAUAUCCGGCAUACAGAAAACACUCAAAACAUGCUAGGUCUUAUGGCUGUAUACAGAUGUAACCUCUAGUCUCCAUUUGUGACUUCUCUGUUCAGCAACAAAAUCACAAACCAACAGCACUGCUCAUGUUAGAGAAUUCUGUCGAGAACAGAAGUCUCCUGGGGCUGAUUCCUCCAGUCCUCCUGCCCGGGCAGGCUGGGAUCCAUUUCAUCUUUUUGUUGCCAUGUUUCCUCUCUUGAGAUGAUCCAACCGUUUGAACACGAAACCAAAAGCAAAAUAAGCUGCUACACAUGGCAGGGAAUCUUAGGAAAACCAUAGGAGAGAUGAUUUUCACAGACUGGAGGAGGGCAACAUUCCUUUGGUGCUUCUUUGCUUUGCCCGGGCGGUACAAGGAGCCUAGAGGAGACUUCCCAGGGCUGACUGUCUAGCCACUGUGAACUCAAGGGCCUUGGGAAUGAAUACAAGUCUUUAUUUCUGCCCCCCCAGCACGGAGACCAUUCCUAUAAGCCAAAACAGAGGCUCCACCCCUCUCCUGGGGAGAAAGGGCCUAGCCUGGAGGAACAGUUUUCCCUAAACUCACGCAUUUCAUAGCCCGCCUUAUAAAGUGUAAAGAGUAUUUCUUUUCAAUGCUGUAGCUAAAUAUAGCAGGGCUUGGUCAGCUAGAACAUUUUUAGAAAGCACAUUACAAAUCAGGAAUGUUUUGGAGAAAUAAAUAAACUUUCCCACAUUUUUGGACUUUGAGUCGGUCCUGCAGCUUCCAUCUUGAGGGCAUGACUGGUGGGGAAAUGAUGAAUAAUUCAUCAAUGGCGCUGCCCAGGGCUCUUUUUGGAACCCUGAGUGUACUGGAUAUUCUGCAUUGACUGAAGUUGUGGGACAAGGAUGUACGUGCAGGGAGACACUCUCGGAGGAGGGCAGCCCCCUGUCUCCAUAAGGGCCACUCAGUGGCACAAGGAAGAGAAGCAAAUGUAUCUCCAAUGUGUUGCAUUUCUGACCCAGCCAUUUUGGGAGGUGUUCACUGAAGUAUCUGAAUGUGAUGAGAAGAAACCCAUAAGGCUGUGGUUCCCACCUGCUCUGCACCAAGGAUGACCUGGGAGUUUUGGAUUUGUGCAGCACCUGUGUCCUGACCUCAGACCAUGGUUCACUUGGCCUCUGGUGAAACCAGACAGGUGUAUUUUUAUAAGUUCCUCAGGCAAUUCUAUUGAUUCUGCAACCAGAGCUGACAGCCCCUGCAGUGAGGUAUAGAUGCCACUGGGUGCAUUUGUAGGGGUGGAGAGAAGACAUACUCAGCAUUAGCUAUCAUUUCUUUCUUUUCAUCUAUGCAUAUUUAUAUACAAGUUUUGUUUGUUCAGAGUAGACUCUCACCAUCUCUCUAUGACCUCAACUACCCUUUCCCUUUAUUCUGCGUAGAUUUGUCUUUCAAUAAAAUACCACUUAGAAGUUAUAUGUGUUCAUACAGGAAAUGCGUAAUAUUCAGAAAA